RNAcentral lists this ribosomal RNA (536 nucleotides) under Thelenota ananas. RNAcentral describes it as "partial large subunit ribosomal RNA". It matches the Rfam family "Bacterial large subunit ribosomal RNA", at positions 1817 to 2600 of the family's 2925-position model. Lineage: Eukaryota; Metazoa; Echinodermata; Holothuroidea; Aspidochirotida; Stichopodidae. The record is from RNAcentral.
AGCCCCCUGCAAUUAAUUACAUAGGGGGUGCAGCCUGCCCAGUGGAAUUUUAUAUCUAAACGGCCGCGGUAUCUUGACCGUGCAAAGGUAGCAUAAUCACUUGUCUCUUAAAUGGGGACCUGUAUGAAUGGCUUCACAUCUUCAAACUGUCUCCCUUUUCUCCCUCAUAAACUUCUACACACGUGAAAAAGCGUGUAAAAGUAAGAAAGACGAGAAGACCCUGUCGAGCUUUAGUCAACACCGAAACAACUAAAACUCUUAGAGAAUCAUAACCAUUUCGGCAUAGACUUUGGUUGGGGCAACCGUGGAGAAAAACAAACCUCCAGACAAUUUAGACAGAAAUCUCUUCUUCUUAAAAUUUUUAAACGAACCAGUUCUUUUCUGGGAAACGGAAAAAGUUACCGCAGGGAUAACAGCGUUAUCUCCUCUAAGAGCUCAUAUUGACGAGGAGGUUUGCGACCUCGAUGUUGGAUUGGGGUAACCUAAGGGUGCAGCAGCUCUUAAUGGUUGGACUGUUCGUCCAUUAAUCCCCUACA